Molecule: ribosomal RNA, 494 nt
Filed under: uncultured bacterium
Lineage: Bacteria
Description: partial 16S ribosomal RNA
Rfam family: Bacterial small subunit ribosomal RNA
Source: RNAcentral
GACGAACGCUGGCGGCGUGCUUAACACAUGCAAGUCGAACGGUGAAGCGCCUUCCUUUUUGGUGGGUGUGGAUGAGUGGCGAACGGGUGAGUAACACGUGAGUAACCUGCCCCCUUCUUCUGGAUAACCGCAUGAAAGUGUGGCUAAUACGGGAUAUUCUGGGUCUGUCGCAUGAUGGGUCUGGGAAAGAUAUUGUUUCGGUGGGGGAUGGGCUCGCGGCCUAUCAGCUUGUUGGUGGGGUGAUGGCCUACCAAGGCGGUGACGGGUAGCCGGCCUGAGAGGGUGGACGGUCACACUGGGACUGAGACACGGCCCAGACUCCUACGGGAGGCAGCAGUGGGGAAUAUUGCACAAUGGGCGCAAGCCUGAUGCAGCGACGCCGCGUGAGGGAUGGAGGCCUUCGGGUUGUGAACCUCUUUCGCCAGUGAAGCAGGCCUGCCGCGUUUGUGGGUGGGUUGACGGUAGCUGGAGAAGAAGCGCCGGCUAACUACGUG